UCGUUUCCAGCCUGACCCCCGCGGACCGGGCCCGCCCGGCACCCGCCCGUUUCGGGGGAGGCAGCGUGCCCGCCCCCGCGCGGGAGGGGCAGUCCCGGGGCCCGGGAAAGCCCCCGCGCCCUCCGCUGCAGGGGGCACCGGGCGCACCGAGAGCUCCCUGCACAUCCAGAGCCAGCGCGCUCCUUCCCUCGCUGCUGUGCCCGACAGACGAACGUGCUGGUGACAAACCCCGGCAAUCCGCUCGCAGCUCCGUGGGCACGGCUUGUUCUGGCAGCUGCUGACAGGGACGGAGGAUCACCCUUGGAGCACAACCACAACUACAAAGCCUUUGUUGUUUGUUAGCUGGGCGAGUUCACCACAAAAAAUGUUGUGGCUUUAUAAAGGCAAUAAGAAAACUUAAUUGCAGAACAUGAAAUCUGUAGGUAAUUUGUAAAAUGGGCAAGCCGGGAAUGUAAUGACUGUUAAUCACAUAGCAACUCCUAAGAAAAGUUCGUUAAACUAACUGCACAAAUAUCCAGAAAAUGGCCUGGGGAUGUACACUGCAAAGUCUGAAAACUAAUUAUUAUGUAUACAAAAGGAAGACAGCGGUGACUGGAAAUAAAAAAAAAAAAAAAUGAGGUACAAAGAUCCACAAACUUAAUCCAUUACUUCUAAUGAGACUGAAGCACGGGUACUAUAUACCAUUAUAUGGGCUCACAGGUGUCAAUCUCUAAUUUGUACCAAGGGGAUGCAGCACAAAACUGCUUGCCUCAAUGAAGUUUAAAUAACCAGCACGAAUACUGACGGGAAAACAACAAAACUUGUAAGAUAGAUUAAAAACCAGCAUUUUGAUAAAUAUGUACGCCAGAGGCCAGGAACAGAAGCGAGUUUCUGAAUUUUCCCCACUGCUGGCAGCAGCCCUGCUCAGCCCCGCUCAGGCUCCCGGAGGCACGGGAGGAGCUGGGGGGCUCUGGAUGCCCUGCAGGCCCUGCCAAAGCACGCCAACACAGCGCGGAGAAAAGGAGAUCAGAUGGAUAAGUUAUGAACCAAAAUAUAGGCGGCCCUUGAGCUUCCAAAGCAGUCACAGAAAGCUCCCCCUUCCACGACCGCGUUCCAAAGCAGAAGAAUGAAGGAAUUACUUUUUCACAGCUGCUUGUAAUAAGGAGUCCUACAGGUGAUUCGCUGCACAAGGACUGAAAAUAUUGCAACUAAGCAAGACAUCACCUAUUAAAUUCUAAACAUCAGAUAUUACAACAAAUCUGAGGCCCAGCCUCUCUGUCAGUGUUUUUCUGUUGGUAGGAUUUUGUAGACGUGAAGCUGUGGGAACACCUAGAGAGCCAUUUGAUUUUUGAGGAUAAAAGUAUAUUAACAGAACUUCAGGUGUUAUUGAAGAAGAAUAGAGACUCACUAGGUUUUCGUAAUAGCAAUUUAUUUGCACAGUGGAGCAGCAAUGCAAGUUUUUCCAUGUGGCUGAGGCAAAAGAAGUAAGUGAUUCCAUCAUUUGUCUCCUGUCAGUGUCUUUCAAGUCUUACAAGAUAAUAUAUGUCUGUUCAUGUAGAAAUGGAAACUAUUUAUUUAAUCUGAUCUUUGGCCAAGAAAUCCUCUCUGCUAUCCUGCCAAACCAUUGGUGGGGAGGAGGAUUUUCUUCCUUGUACAUAUCUCAACAUAAACACAACUGAGUUCUAUUUUUUCACAGUUCCCAUUAAUUCUUAUUAUGUAAUCAAGCUUAAAGAAAAAUAUCUGGUCUGAAUAAAAUAGUUACAUUUUGGCAGAUAAGGUACAUUCAAGUCAGGGUUCCCCUGAGCAAGAGUAGCAGAGACUAAAAUAUACAACAAACAACUACAAUAGUAGGUUGAUAACCUGUACUUUAAAACAUGAGCAAUCUGUGAUUGCCAUAAGUGUAAUUCUUUUAUAUAGGAAACCAUUAAUUGUUAAAAAUGGGAGUUCAUUAGUAUCACUAAUUUGGUAACUUCAGAAGAUAGUGCAGUUUUUACACAGAACAUGUCAAACUACUUGAAAGAUCAAGAAUAGCAUCAAAAAAAGAACGUUGACCUGAAAGAUCUGAAGAAAAUCUGCUAAUGAAAACAAAACUGCGUGUCCUAGCAGUUUAUCAGAAAGGCAAAUAUUAGCAUAUGAAGGCCUAAACUAAGACUAGCAAAGCCUUUUCUCAGUUACUCUGAGGAAACUUUCACAUCCAUUCUUAAACAUUCUGCUUUUAAAUUAUUCAAGAAAUGAACAGCUAUGGCUAGAAUAAAAUCAAAUUUUCAAGAGGGGAAAACAUGAAUUAUACACUGCAUACAACUGCUUACUUUGAAAUGGUAGUUGUGCCUUUGUUAAAAGCUAGAAAUCUUAUGAAUGGUUGAAAGAACUGUAUUUCCUACAGCUUUCCCUCACGAGCCCUCAAUAUUGAACUCUGCAUUUACACCACAACAUAGACAACUAUUAGUUACCAGCCUAACUAGAAUGAUGGCAGCAAGUUGCAGAAAAUACAUGUUCUCAUGGAAAAGACAAAAUGACAAAACGUUUCACCUGCUAGGAUUUGUUAAAAAUCAGACCCAGCAAAACUCUUUUCAUGUUAAACUAUUUAGGAGAGAAAACUGUUAGGAAGCGUCCCAUAAAACAGAUUAGUUGACAAAGUGAGCAAGAUCCUGCAAGGUGAAGAUUACCUUGAAUCAUCAGGUACUCUCUUGCUAACGCACCAUCAAAUGAAAGUUCUCUCUUAAAGCUAGAUUUGGUAGACAAUUUAAUUUAGUGCAUAAAAGCACUAAAUACUUAAUUGUUGUGUUCUGUAGGGCAUCAGAUAAUGAACACAGGCCAGCCAAAAAUAUUCCAUUAUUUUGGAAAAGCUGUGUUCUUUGCCAAAGCAUAGAAAGCAUAUCACAGUGCUGCAGCCACUGCAGAAAUACAGGUUACAGUUCUGUGCUAACACUAAAGCACUGGAGUAAGAGAAAGAGAAAUCAAGAAGGGAUCACACCACUGAAAAGAAAAAUGAGAACACUGCCAUCAGGUUGAAACACAAAACAAGAAUUAAUGAAUCUAAGUCUACAAAUGUAACUACGCCAUGUUUAAGAAAGGAAGGAAUACUCUUGUUAAUCAGUACAGCAUUAUAGAGGAAAAGGUUUACAUAAAUAUUUGCAUGAAACAGAACAAGCAAUUGCACGAUACAGAAGAGAAAAUCUUUUGAAGGGUCUGGGCCAUUGCUGAGGACAAAAACGCGCAGAAAUAGCUGCUAUAGGGCAGCCAGUUUUACACAGGCGGAACCAUCAAGGCACGAGGGUAAGAGAAGAGCAAGGCCAGGAGCCCGGGUGCUGAACAGCGGGUCUGACACUGAACUUUGGGGGAUGUUUUACAAAAACCCCGAGGUUUUUACAC
This is a non-coding RNA of Cyanistes caeruleus (blue tit), 3351 nucleotides long. The record is from RefSeq and is a predicted model, not a curated record. Lineage: Eukaryota; Metazoa; Chordata; Aves; Passeriformes; Paridae.